AGCUUUGUGCAGUGGCAGUAUCGUAGCCAAUGAGGUUUAUCCGAGGCGCGGUUAUUGCUAAUUGAAAACUUUUCCUAAUACCCCGCCAUGACGACUUGCAAUAUAGUCGGCAUUGGCAAUUUUUGACGGUCCCUACGGGGA
This is a small nuclear RNA of Propithecus coquereli (Coquerel's sifaka), 141 nucleotides long. Its record names the gene U4. It matches the Rfam family "U4 spliceosomal RNA". Rfam says of the family: U4 small nuclear RNA (U4 snRNA) is a component of the major U2-dependent spliceosome. The structure of U4 snRNA from yeast and human has been reported. NCBI's taxonomy places the organism in Eukaryota, Metazoa, Chordata, Mammalia, Primates, Indriidae. The record is from Ensembl.